GGGGAUGUAGCUCAGCUGGGAGAGCGCCUGCCUUGCACGCAGGAGGUCGGCGGUUCGAGCCCGCUCAUCUCCA
Leptospirillum ferrodiazotrophum is the source of this 73-nucleotide transfer RNA. It matches the Rfam family "tRNA". From Rfam's summary of the family: Transfer RNA (tRNA) molecules are approximately 80 nucleotides in length. Their secondary structure includes four short double-helical elements and three loops (D, anti-codon, and T loops). Lineage: Bacteria; Pseudomonadati; Nitrospirota; Nitrospiria; Nitrospirales; Nitrospiraceae. The record is from Rfam.